CGUGCUGGUGGGCCGUCCGGCCCGGCCCGCCGCGCCGACCGGCGCGGACAAGACCUCGAUCGUGCUGUGGCAGCGCGAC
Molecule: transfer RNA, 79 nt
Filed under: Streptomyces massasporeus
Lineage: Bacteria; Bacillati; Actinomycetota; Actinomycetes; Kitasatosporales; Streptomycetaceae
Also listed under: 1 other name
Description: tRNA-Arg
Source: RNAcentral